AGGGCAGUGACUCAGUGACUUCGCUUGGAGAGGGCCAGGCUGCAGCAUAACUCAAGACUGACUAUCCCCCACCAAAUGCCAGCUCCCUUUGGCUGCAAGUACAGAAUACAGGGUCCACUUAGACCAGAAAGCCGCCAUCGGCUGGGGAAGGAAGACAGAGGCCUGCAGGCUCUCACCUCAACCCGUGCCUGAAGACCAGGAAGGACAGCUCUUGAGCCUCCCGAGUGGCAUGUUUUCUUUCCAACCCUGGGAUCUUGAACCUACUACGUGGCAGCUCAGUGGGUGCUUAGGAAAGAUUGCUACCAAUGGCCACUUGCUUCUGGAUGGAGCCAGGGCGAACCAAGACGGGAAACACCACAGCACACCCAGCCCUCAAAUACAUGUCACUCUCAAUGGC
Mesocricetus auratus (golden hamster) is the source of this 397-nucleotide long non-coding RNA. RefSeq lists it as uncharacterized. The record is from RefSeq and is a predicted model, not a curated record. The transcript has 2 exons. NCBI's taxonomy places the organism in Eukaryota, Metazoa, Chordata, Mammalia, Rodentia, Cricetidae.